RNAcentral lists this ribosomal RNA (459 nucleotides) under uncultured bacterium. RNAcentral describes it as "partial 16S ribosomal RNA". It matches the Rfam family "Bacterial small subunit ribosomal RNA", at positions 338 to 795 of the family's 1533-position model. The record is from RNAcentral.
CCUACGGGUGGCAGCAGUGAGGAAUAUUGGUCAAUGGCCGGAAGGCUGAACCAGCCAAGCCGCGUGAAGGACGAAGGUGCCAAGCAUUGUAAACUUCUUUUGUCAAGGGAUAAAAUCAGCCACGAGAGCCUGACCGAGUGUACCAGAAGAAAAAGCAUCGGCUAACUCCGUGCCAGCAGCCGCGGUAAUACGGAGGAUGCGAGCGUUAUCCGGAUUUAUUGGGUUUAAAGGGGGCGUAGGCGGGCUGUUAAGUCAGCGGGAAAAGCCCGGGGCUCAACCCCGACGAGCCGUUGAAACUGGCUGUCUUGAGAUGUCGAGAGGUAUGCGGAAUGCGCGGUGUAGCGGUGAAAUGCUUAGAUAUUGCGCAGAACUCCGAUUGCGAAGGCAGCAUACCGGCGGCGAUCUGACGCUGAGGCACGAAAGCGUGGGUAUCGAACAGGAUUAGAUACCCCGGUAGUC